GAUGAACGCUGGCGGCGUGCCUAAUACAUGCAAGUCGAGCGAACGGACGAGAAGCUUGCUUUUCUGAUGUUAGCGGCGGACGGGUGAGUAACACGUGGAUAACCUACCUAUAAGACUGGGAUAACUUCGGGAAACCGGAGCUAAUACCGGCUAAUAUUUUGAACCGCAUGGUUCAAAAGUGAAAGACGGUCUUGCUGUCACUUAAAGAUGGAUCCGCGCUGCAUUAGCUAGUUGGUAAGGUAACGGCUUACCAAGGCAACGAUGCAUAGCCGACCUGAGAGGGUGAUCGGCCACACUGGAACUGAGACACGGUCCAGACUCCUACGGGAGGCAGCAGUAGGGAAUCUUCCGCAAUGGGCGAAAGCCUGACGGAGCAACGCCGCGUGAGUGAUGAAGGUCUUCGGAUCGUAAAACUCUGUUAUUAGGGAAGAACAUAUGUGUAAGUAACUGUGCACAUCUUGACGGUACCUAAUCAGAAAGCCACGGCUAACUACGUGCCAGCAGCCGCGGUAAUACGUAGGUGGCAAGCGUUAUCCGGAAUUAUUGGGCGUAAAGCGCGCGUAGGCGGUUUUUUAAGUCUGAUGUGAAAGCCCACGGCUCAACCGUGGAGGGUCAUUGGAAACUGGAAAACUUGAGUGCAGAAGAGGAAAGUGGAAUUCCAUGUGUAGCGGUGAAAUGCGCAGAGAUGUGGAGGAACACCAGUGGCGAAGGCGACUUUCUGGUCUGUAACUGACGCUGAUGUGCGAAAGCGUGGGGAUCAAACAGGAUUAGAUACCCUGGUAGUCCACGCCGUAAACGAUGAGUGCUAAGUGUUAGGGGGUUUCCGCCCCUUAGUGCUGCAGCUAACGCAUUAAGCACUCCGCCUGGGGAGUACGACCGCAAGGUUGAAACUCAAAGGAAUUGACGGGGGCCCGCACAAGCGGUGGAGCAUGUGGUUUAAUUCGAAGCAACGCGAAGAACCUUACCAAAUCUUGACAUCCUUUGACAACUCUAGAGAUAGAGCCUUCCCCUUCGGGGGACAAAGUGACAGGUGGUGCAUGGUUGUCGUCAGCUCGUGUCGUGAGAUGUUGGGUUAAGUCCCGCAACGAGCGCAACCCUUAAGCUUAGUUGCCAUCAUUAAGUUGGGCACUCUAAGUUGACUGCCGGUGACAAACCGGAGGAAGGUGGGGAUGACGUCAAAUCAUCAUGCCCCUUAUGAUUUGGGCUACACACGUGCUACAAUGGACAAUACAAAGGGCAGCGAAACCGCGAGGUCAAGCAAAUCCCAUAAAGUUGUUCUCAGUUCGGAUUGUAGUCUGCAACUCGACUACAUGAAGCUGGAAUCGCUAGUAAUCGUAGAUCAGCAUGCUACGGUGAAUACGUUCCCGGGUCU
This 1372-nucleotide ribosomal RNA is filed under the name uncultured bacterium. RNAcentral describes it as "bacterial SSU rRNA". It matches the Rfam family "Bacterial small subunit ribosomal RNA", at positions 28 to 1381 of the family's 1533-position model. The record is from RNAcentral.